AUCUACGGCCAUACCACGCUGAACACGCCCGAUCUUGUCUGAUCUCUGAAGCUAAGCAGGGUCGGGCCUGCUUAGUACUUGGAUGGGAAAGAAGGACAGACACCUGCAGACC
RNAcentral lists this ribosomal RNA (112 nucleotides) under Erinaceus europaeus (western European hedgehog). The record is from RNAcentral. Lineage: Eukaryota; Metazoa; Chordata; Mammalia; Eulipotyphla; Erinaceidae.